This is a long non-coding RNA of Passer montanus (Eurasian tree sparrow), 2557 nucleotides long. RefSeq lists it as uncharacterized. The record is from RefSeq and is a predicted model, not a curated record. Lineage: Eukaryota; Metazoa; Chordata; Aves; Passeriformes; Passeridae. The transcript has 3 exons.
ACCCUUUUUUUUUUUCUUUUGGUGUGUCCAUAGAGCACAUUUCCAAGAUUAAUCGUUCGGUUUUAAACUUGGAAGCAUGAGGCAUGCUGGGAUUUCAGCUGAGGUCAAGCACCAAUGUACCGAGCUGUUACUGUUACGCUCUCAGGGUACUCUGUGUUGCUCUCAACAAGGGGGGGAAGGCAAAAAAAAUUUAAAAAAAAUCAAAAUCGAGACGCUCUAUGCAGUAGCCUGCUGCAAAAAAAUCUCCCUGUUUUACCACAGGCGUGAUGUUAAUAUUCCUCCAUAUUGAAACGUCUGUAUUUAUGGUUUUAUUCGCCUGUAUUAAUUAAUGCGGCUGGGGAUGGCCACGCACACCUCAAGAACUGUAUUUACAUCCAUAUCGUGUAUAUCUUAUCUACACACGCAUAUAUAAUAAUCACCCUGUGUGUACACACAUACACCCCCAUAUCUGGAUCAGCUGGAAAAUUAUCUCGUGAAUAUAUAUACACACACAUUAAAAAAAAGAAAAAAAAAUUAGAAAAAAAAAUCUCAGCGGUAUGAACGCCGAUUUUAAUUUGAUUUUUAUACAGAAAAUGGCCAUAACCACCGCCCUACAUCAGCCGAUGGAGCCUAAGGAGGAGAAAUAGACUUAUUUUUUCCUUAAAAGAUCUUUAAACACUAUUGUAUGUGUGUGUAUACGGCUCUAAAUAUACACACCCGCGCUCACACGUAUACACAUAGAGAGAGGAUAUAUUUCUGAAAUAAAAUAAAGAUGUCAAAGCACAACUCACAGCUCCCAAGAGCCUAACCCGUGGAUUUAAAAGCUAAACAUCACAAGUUAGGGUCUCAGGGAUUGAGAGGGGCGCAACAAACUAGUCCUUGCAAAAAAAAAAAAAUUAAAAAAUAAAAAUACCAAAAUCAACGGGGAUCAAAAAAUAAUAAUCAUAAAAAAAGAGAUCAAAAGGAGAAAGAGGAAAAGAAUAGCAGGCAAGUUCAAUUCAUGGCUCAAGAUUACAAAACAGGACACACAGGUGGAAGGAAAGAGCUUCUCUAAGGACCCUCUGUUGAGAGAAUACAUUCCAUUUUUAAUCGUUUAUACAAAAAAAAAUAAUAAUAAUGACAUGGCGCGGCAGGUUCCUUACAGCUCCCAACAAGGUCGCUUGCGACAAAUACACGAAAAGUCUCCGCAUUUAAAUAACGAAGAGGAAGUUUGGGGCAGUGACGGAAUUAUUUUCAUUGUUUCAACGAGAAGGAAUGCAGAAAUAAGAGCAGGAAUCUGCAGGCUCGCUCCCGGCCCCUGGCACAAAGCGUGCAGCAGCAGCAAGGCGCUGCCUCCCCGCCCCCUCCGCCAGCCCCGGGGAUGGAGAAAAACCCCGAGUCGCCACAAAACCAGAAUUGUUACUUCCACCUAAUGAUCCAUGAUAAAUCAGUAAACUCUUCUGCCUGCCUUAGACGGGAUAACCAAGGGCAGGAAGGGAGGGAAAACCAAUGCAAGGCACAACUUCAAUCUGUGCGAGCUCCAAAAAAAUGAGAUGAAUCCCCUUGGAAAAGGCAGCGAGACUGGAAGUGCCACCUCUGGGACACCUGAUAACCACCCCUGAAAGCCACCAGGCAGGUGUCAGAGGAGGGUGACAGGAAAAGGAGCCAGAAACUAAAACACAACAAGUUCCACCUCAGCCUGAGGAAGAACUUCCUUCCCAUGGAGGGGGCAGAGCCCUGAGCAGCCCAGGGAGGUUUUGGCUCUCCCUGCUGGAGCCACCCCAGCCCCACCUGGAUGUGUCCCCUGUCCCUGCUCCGGGUGACCCUGCCGGGCCAGGGGGGUUGGGCUGGGACCCUCCAGAAUUCCCUUCCCGCCCCAAAUCCCCCGGGACUCUGUGAGGAAAAAAAAUAAAUUGGUUUUAAUCAGCAGGUGAUAAAGAAGUGUUUGCUGGGAACAGAUCCACGGCCUGGAACACAGAGCCCCCAUCCCCUGACCACUGUCUGAGCACUUCACACUCACUUAAGGACAUCCUCAACCAGGACAUUAAGCUCAGAGGAAAAGCACUUUCCUCUUUUAAUUGCUUUUAUGAAUCACCACCGACAUCCAGACACUUCAUUUACUGGAGUCCAGCAACCCUGUUUUGCAAACACUGAAAUUUCAAAAUGUUAAAGGCCUCUGGGCUGGCAAAAAUAAUAAAACAAACAAAAAAAAUUAAAAAAUAGAGGUGUCAUUCUGUUUGGUUUGAUCCCAGCUUUGCAUUUAACUCAACCUGCUGCUCUGGGCCAGGCACUACACAAAAAACCCCACAACUGGCAGCAUCACCUGGCCCUGUGACCACCAGGAAUUCAGAAUUUAAGCAGAGAAAGUUUGAGGGGUUUCCACAACUUCUCGUAUUUCUCUAUUGUUCUGUGGUUUGUUUGGUUUGGGGUUUUUUUUUCUGGAGUGAAAUAACCACAACAGAAAGAGGCCUGAAAAUUGUUCUCAUAUUUAAAAAGGGGCCAAGUCUCUGCAGUCCAUUUGUAAAUAAAUAUAAAUAAAAUUGGUAUCCCCUCCACUAAUCCUCUCAGGGACAGGGCUUGCAGGAAAUUCUUGCAGAAA